Long non-coding RNA from Gopherus evgoodei (Goodes thornscrub tortoise), 532 nucleotides. RefSeq lists it as uncharacterized. NCBI's taxonomy places the organism in Eukaryota, Metazoa, Chordata, Testudines, Testudinidae. The record is from RefSeq and is a predicted model, not a curated record. The transcript is spliced from 2 exons.
UUAUGGUAUUGAAUCGGUCGGGUGGGAGAGAUGCCAAUCUGGUUGUGGAGUCGAGGCUCACUCCUAUAAACUCCAGGUGCUGGGUAGGACUUAAUGUGGAUUUGCUUUCAUUUAUUUGCAGGCCCAGGGAUUGGAAGCACUCGAUGGUGAUUUGUGUGAAGCGGAGGGCCACAUCGAACGUGGAGGCCUUCAGGAGGCAAUCGUCGAGGGGUUUGGAUGCCUAAAGAUCGAAGAGUUGCCCUUGAGUCCUUCAUUGAGUGGAGCACCUCAUUAGUGGUGGAAGCAAAGAGUUUAUCACCAUCAAAAGGGAGAUCCUCUAUGGUGCUCUGAACCUCACGAGGAAAGAGGGAAGAGGAGAGCCAUGAACCUCGGUGCAUGACCACCGCCAUAGCAGUGGAUCUUGCUGCAGUAUUGGCUGAAUCCAGAGCUGCUUGAAGAGCCAUGCGUAAUAUGAUUUGGCCCUUGGAAACUAAAGCUGUAAACUGUUGUUUCUUGUAGUCUGGAAUGUGUUCAAUAAAGUCCAUGAACUUGU